This 462-nucleotide ribosomal RNA is filed under the name uncultured Methanosaeta sp. Its description in RNAcentral is "bacterial SSU rRNA". It matches the Rfam family "Archaeal small subunit ribosomal RNA", at positions 875 to 1338 of the family's 1478-position model. The record is from RNAcentral. Lineage: Archaea; Methanobacteriati; Methanobacteriota; Methanomicrobia; Methanotrichales; Methanotrichaceae.
AGCACCACAACGGGUGGAGCUUGCGGUUUAAUUGGAUUCAACGCGGAAAUCUUACCGGACCGACAGCAAUAUGAAGGCCAGGCUGAAGACUUUGCCGGAUUAGCUGAGAGGUGGUGCAUGGCCGUCGUCAGUUCGUACUGUGAAGCAUCCUGUUAAGUCAGGCAAUGAGCGAGACCCACGCCCACGGUUGCCAGCGUACUCUCCGGAGUGACGGGUACACUGUGGGGACCGCCGCUGCUAAAGCGGAGGAAGGAAUGGGCAACGGUAGGUCAGUAUGCCCCGAAUAUCCCGGGCUACACGCGAGCUACAAUGGUUGGUACAAUGGGUAUCUACCCCGAAAGGGGACGGGAAUCUCCUAAAACCAAUCUUAGUUCGGAUUGAGGGCUGCAACUCGCCCUCAUGAAGCUGGAAUCCGUAGUAAUCGCGUUUCAACAGAACGCGGUGAAUACGUCCCUGCUCCUU